This 266-nucleotide ribosomal RNA is filed under the name uncultured bacterium. RNAcentral describes it as "partial small subunit ribosomal RNA". It matches the Rfam family "Bacterial small subunit ribosomal RNA", at positions 26 to 285 of the family's 1533-position model. The record is from RNAcentral.
AGGACGAACGCUGGCGGCGUGCCUAACACAUGCAAGUGGAGCGACGAACCAGGCUUCGGCCUGGGGCAAAGCCGCGAACGGGUGAGUAACACGUGGGUAACCUGCCCCGAUGAUUGGAACAACCCGAGGAAACUCGGGCUAAUACCGAAUGUGCCCUACGGCCACAAGGCCGCUGGGGAAAGGAAGCUUCGGCCUCCGCAUCGGGAUGGGCCCGCGGCCCAUUAGCUUGUUGGUGAGGUAACGGCUCACCAAGGCGACGACGGGUA